Molecule: ribosomal RNA, 500 nt
Filed under: uncultured bacterium
Lineage: Bacteria
Description: partial 16S ribosomal RNA
Rfam family: Bacterial small subunit ribosomal RNA
Source: RNAcentral
AUUGAACGCUGGCGGAAUGCUUUACACAUGCAAGUCGAACGGCAGCACGGACUUCGGUCCGGUGGCGAGUGGCGAACGGGUGAGUAAUGUAUCGGAACGUGCCCAGUCGUGGGGGAUAACGUAGUGAAAAUUACGCUAAUACCGCAUACGAUCUACGGAUGAAAGCGGGGGACCGUAAGGCCUCGCGCGAUUGGAGCGGCCGAUGUCAGAUUAGGUAGUUGGUGAGGUAAAGGCUCACCAAGCCGACGAUCUGUAGCUGGUCUGAGAGGACGACCAGCCACACUGGGACUGAGACACGGCCCAGACUCCUACGGGAGGCAGCAGUGGGGAAUUUUGGACAAUGGGCGCAAGCCUGAUCCAGCCAUUCCGCGUGCAGGACGAAGGCCUUCGGGUUGUAAACUGCUUUUGUACGGAACGAAAAGGCUCUGGUUAAUACCUGGGGCUCAUGACGGUACCGUAAGAAUAAGCACCGGCUAACUACGUGCCAGCCGCCGCGGUAA